This 86-nucleotide transfer RNA is filed under the name Xiphophorus maculatus (southern platyfish). It matches the Rfam family "tRNA". Rfam says of the family: Transfer RNA (tRNA) molecules are approximately 80 nucleotides in length. Their secondary structure includes four short double-helical elements and three loops (D, anti-codon, and T loops). The record is from Rfam by way of RNAcentral. Lineage: Eukaryota; Metazoa; Chordata; Actinopteri; Cyprinodontiformes; Poeciliidae.
GACCUGUGGUGCAACGGAUAGUGCAUUGGACUUCUAGACAGGUUGAAGUGAUUCAAAGGUUGUGGGUUUGAGUCCCACUAGAGUCG